UAGGGAAUCUUCGGCAAUGGACGAAAGUCUGACCGAGCAACGCCGCGGGAGUGAAGAAGGUUUUCGGAUCGUAAAACUCUGUUGUUAGAGAAGAACAAGGACGUUAGUAACUGAACGUCCCCUGACGGUAUCUAACCAGAAAGCCACGGCUAACUACGUGCCAGCAGCCGCGGUAAUACGUAGGUGGCAAGCGUUGUCCGGAUUUAUUGGGCGUAAAGCGAGCGCAGGCGGUUUCUUAAGUCUGCUGUGAAAGCCCCCGGCUCAACCGGGGAGGGUCAUUGGAAACUGGGAGACUUGAGUGCAGAAGAGGAGAGUGGAAUUCCAUGUGUAGCGGUGAAAUGCGUAGUUAUAUGGAGGAACACCAGUGACGAAGGCGGCUCUCUGGUCUGUAACUGACGCUGAGGCUCGAAAGCGUGGGGAGCAAACAGG
RNAcentral lists this ribosomal RNA (429 nucleotides) under Gemmatimonadota bacterium. Its description in RNAcentral is "Gemmatimonadetes bacterium partial 16S ribosomal RNA". It matches the Rfam family "Bacterial small subunit ribosomal RNA", at positions 355 to 776 of the family's 1533-position model. Lineage: Bacteria; Pseudomonadati; Gemmatimonadota. The record is from RNAcentral.